GCAUUGGUAGUUCAUUGGUAGAAUUCUUGCCUUCCAUGCAGGGGUUCCAGGUUCAAUUCCCAGCCAGUUCU
This 71-nucleotide transfer RNA is filed under the name Loxodonta africana (African savanna elephant). It matches the Rfam family "tRNA". Rfam says of the family: Transfer RNA (tRNA) molecules are approximately 80 nucleotides in length. Lineage: Eukaryota; Metazoa; Chordata; Mammalia; Proboscidea; Elephantidae. The record is from Rfam by way of RNAcentral.